This is a long non-coding RNA of Solanum stenotomum, 819 nucleotides long. RefSeq lists it as uncharacterized. The transcript is spliced from 3 exons. The record is from RefSeq and is a predicted model, not a curated record. NCBI's taxonomy places the organism in Eukaryota, Viridiplantae, Streptophyta, Magnoliopsida, Solanales, Solanaceae.
GGCAAACUCCCACCGUCCACCGUCGACAGUCCACCAGUCCACCAGUCCACAGUCCACAAACACGGUGAGACGCGAAACAAUUAGCAGAAAUUUCUUCGUUUUGUGUUUGAGACUAUUCCAAUUCCAUUGCAGCAAGUGAUCCAAAUCGCGCGGACGAAUUUGGUCUGAUUACAACAGGUGAUUGUGAUCGUUGUGGAGAUAUGAUCUCAGUGCAAAAAUGUGUUAUUAAUUUUGAAGGCAAUGAGGUCUCAGAAGUAUCUAAAAUGAGCAAUUUAACUGGUGGAAAAUCUGAAACCAAUCUUCCAAAUCAAUUGAAAGUUAUUUUUUGUCAAGAUUUAAAUGGAAGUUUGGAUGGGGUUGGCUCAGCAGAUGUUUGUGAUUAUACUUGUCAUAAUGAUGGACGAUUUUGGAGGUGUUACAACUUUGUACAAGAGACUAAGAUAGGAUCUCUAGUUUGAAAGCUGAUCAAGAUGCUACAGCGCUGAGGGAGCUGCUAUUUGUUCAUUUUGUAUAUUUCACUCAUUUUGAAGGUGUGCAUCUGAUUAUACCUUGCUGUAACUUUAUUAUCAACUUCAGAAAAGUGCUAAGUGCGAAAGUGUAAGAACUCGGAGGAUAUGUACAAUGCUUAGUAUAAUUUUAAGGAUGAUGAUGAUGACAGUGACCGAGAACCAUCAGAAAAGCAAAUAGAAGUUCUGCAGUGGUUGUGUCAAUUGUACCCUGAUUAAUGUCGAGGAUGUUGAAAAUUGUGAAGUAUGCGGAGAACACAGUGAAUCUGGGAUACUCAGGCAUGGAUUUUUUUGCAUCUCCAUAUCUGCCUGU